GACGAACGCUGGCGGCGUGCUUAACACAUGCAAGUCGAACGGAAAGGCCCUGUUCUUGUAGGGUCCUCAUGUGGCGAACGGGUGAGAAUCACGUGAGUAACCUGUCCUUGACUGCGGGAUAACUUCAGGAAACAGGGGUUAUUAUCGGACAUGAGAUCCUGCUGCACGGUGGGGGUGGGAAAGAUUCGGCGGUUCGGGACGGACUGGCGGCCUAUCAGUUUGUUGGUGGGGUGGUGGCGUACCAAGGCACCGACGGGUUGCCGGAUUGGGAGUGUGACCGGCCACAAGCGGACUGAGAGAGGGCCCAGAGGCCUACUUGAGGAAUGAGCGAGGGAUAGUCCAAACUGGGCGGCAGCCGGAUGCAGCAUCGCCGCAUGCGAGAAGACUGCCUUCGGGGUGUAACCCGCUUUCGCCUGUAACGAAGCGUGAGUGACGGUAAUGGGUAAAGAAGCACCGGCUAACUACGUG
Molecule: ribosomal RNA, 468 nt
Filed under: uncultured bacterium
Lineage: Bacteria
Description: partial 16S ribosomal RNA
Rfam family: Bacterial small subunit ribosomal RNA
Source: RNAcentral